Molecule: transfer RNA, 75 nt
Filed under: Deltaproteobacteria bacterium
Lineage: Bacteria; Pseudomonadati; Myxococcota; Myxococcia
Description: tRNA-Val
Rfam family: tRNA
About the family: Transfer RNA (tRNA) molecules are approximately 80 nucleotides in length. Their secondary structure includes four short double-helical elements and three loops (D, anti-codon, and T loops). Further hydrogen bonds mediate the characteristic L-shaped molecular structure. tRNAs have two regions of fundamental functional importance: the anti-codon, which is responsible for specific mRNA codon recognition, and the 3' end, to which the tRNAs corresponding amino acid is attached (by aminoacyl-tRNA synthetases). tRNAs cope with the degeneracy of the genetic code in two manners: having more than one tRNA (with a specific anti-codon) for a particular amino acid; and 'wobble' base-pairing, i.e. permitting non-standard base-pairing at the 3rd anti-codon position.
Source: RNAcentral
GGGCGAUUAGCUCAGCGGGAGAGCACUCCCUUCACACGGGAGGGGUCGCAGGUUCAAUCCCUGCAUCGCCCUCCA